UAGUCCGCGCCGUAAACGAUGGAUACUAGCUGUAUGUCUACCUCAGGUAGAUGUGUGGCCAAGCGAAAGUGAUAAGUAUCCCACCUGGGGAGUACGAUCGCAAGAUUGAAACUCAAAGGAAUUGACGGGGGCCCGCACAAGCGGUGGAGCAUGUGGUUUAAUUCGAUGAUACGCGAGGAACCUUACCAGGACUUAAAUGUAUUGUGACAGAUCUAGAGAUAGAUUUUUCUUCGGACACAUUACAAGGUGCUGCAUGGUUGUCGUCAGCUCGUGCCGUGAGGUGUCAGGUUAAGUCCUAUAACGAGCGCAACCCCUAUCGUUAGUUGCCAACGAGUAAUGUCGGGAACUCUAGCGAAACUGCCGGUGCAAACCGUGAGGAAGGUGGGGGAUGACGUCAAAUCAUCACGGCCCUUACGUCCUGGGGCUACACACGUGCUACAAUGGGUCGGUACAGAGAGCAGCCACUUCGCGAGAAGGGAG
This 480-nucleotide ribosomal RNA is filed under the name uncultured bacterium. RNAcentral's name for it is "bacterial SSU rRNA". It matches the Rfam family "Bacterial small subunit ribosomal RNA", at positions 791 to 1267 of the family's 1533-position model. The record is from RNAcentral.